This 780-nucleotide ribosomal RNA is filed under the name uncultured Porphyromonadaceae bacterium. RNAcentral's name for it is "bacterial SSU rRNA". It matches the Rfam family "Bacterial small subunit ribosomal RNA", at positions 708 to 1501 of the family's 1533-position model. The record is from RNAcentral. Lineage: Bacteria; Pseudomonadati; Bacteroidota; Bacteroidia; Bacteroidales; Porphyromonadaceae.
GAUUGCGCAGGCAGCUUACUAGGCCAUAACUGACGCUCAGGCACGAAGGCGUGGGGAUCAAACAGGAUUAGAUACCCUGGUAGUCCACGCAGUAAACUAUGAUUACUCGCUGUUUGCGAUACACCGUAAGCGGCUUAGCGAAAGCGUUAAGUAAUCCACCUGGGGAGUACGUUCGCAAGAAUGAAACUCAAAGGAAUUGACGGGGGCCCGCACAAGCGGAGGAACAUGUGGUUUAAUUCGAUGAUACGCGAGGAACCUUACCCGGGCUUGAAAUGCAUCUGACAGGAGCAGAGACGCUCUCUUCCUUCGGGACAGAUGUGUAGGUGCUGCAUGGUUGUCGUCAGCUCGUGCCGUGAGGUGUCGGCUUAAGUGCCAUAACGAGCGCAACCCUCAUCAUUAGUUACCAUCAGGUUAAGCUGGGGACUCUAAUGAGACUGCCAUCGUAAGAUGCGAGGAAGGUGGGGAUGACGUCAAAUCAGCACGGCCCUUACGUCCGGGGCGACACACGUGUUACAAUGGGUGGUACAAAGGGCAGCUACAUGGCGACAUGAUGCUAAUCUCCAAAACCACUCUCAGUUCGGAUCGGAGUCUGCAACUCGACUUCGUGAAGCUGGAUUCGCUAGUAAUCGCGCAUCAGCCACGGCGCGGUGAAUACGUUCCCGGGCCUUGUACACACCGCCCGUCAAGCCAUGGAAGCCGGGGGUACCUGAAGUUCGUAACCGUCAAAGGAGCGACCUAGGGUAAAACUGGUGACUGGGGCUAAGUCGUAACAAGGUAACC